UUAGUUACCAGCACGUUAUGGUGGGCACUCUAAGGAGACUGCCGGGUGACAAACCGGAGGAAGGUCGGGGAGUGACGUCAAGUCAUCAUGGCCCUUACGGCCUGGGCUACACACGUGCUACAAUGGUCGGUACAAAGGGUUGCCAAGCCGCGAGGUGGAGCUAAUCCCAUAAAACCGAUCGUAGUCCGGAUCGCAGUCUGCAACUCGACUGCGUGAAGUCGGAAUCGCUAGUAAUCGUGAAUCAGAAUGUCACGGUGAAUACGUUCCCGGGCCUU
This 275-nucleotide ribosomal RNA is filed under the name uncultured Pseudomonas sp. RNAcentral's name for it is "partial 16S ribosomal RNA". It matches the Rfam family "Bacterial small subunit ribosomal RNA", at positions 1111 to 1382 of the family's 1533-position model. Lineage: Bacteria; Pseudomonadati; Pseudomonadota; Gammaproteobacteria; Pseudomonadales; Pseudomonadaceae. The record is from RNAcentral.